UCCCAUUAUCAGAAUGGCUUCUGGGAAAACCUCUGCUUUCCACUGUGACAACUCACCUGGUAUUGUGACACAAGGUGAUGGCCAGUAUCAACAAGGAUUCUUCUGAAUCACACGCUUUGGAGCUGUAGGUGUGGGGUUGGUGGUGGUGGUUUCUCUAUUAUCCGUGUACUUCCCGAUUUCAUCUGAAAAUGACCUUUUGAUCUUCACAUCCCCAGUCCAUCCAAUAGAAACGUCAGCCUCUGAUUCCCUGCCUUAUCAUUUCUUUCAGGUAUUAUCUGAAAUGCCUGGAGGGACUUCUCCUGUGGAUGGCAGGGGCACACACGCUUUGCUUGUGGCAUCGGCACAAUCUCCAUGGCAGAGCCAUCUCGCUGGCACCUUCCAUGUCAGUCACCCUCCCUGCUUCCUGUCCUUCUGAUAUGACUUGUGGAAUAUGACUCUUGGAACUCAUAGGCCAAAAGGCUUCCUGCUCUCUCAUCAACAUUCAAAACAAACCUUCAAAAUUGUGCCCUAAAAGGCAUUAGAGUAAUAAAAGGAAGACAACAGUAAGAAGGAGGCAGAGAGAGAAGAAAGAAGGAAGAAUAUUAAGCAUGGGGUUUAAGAAGAUUAAGGAAAGUGAUAAUGAUGGUAGUAGAUGGAUGGUUGAGAAAGAUGCAGAAAAGAAAGCAAAUCUGAGCUCUUCCUUUGCUAGCUAUGCAUGUGUGGAUUCCGGUCACAAUAGGACACUAAUGGGAAUCCUUAUCCAGAGUUGGCUUCAUGUCAGGUGCCGAGUUCUGAGUUCCUGGACCAGUGUGGCAUGCUGCACCCAUUGUCCUCAUGGUGUGGAAUCGGAAGCAGGCUGUAAACGUGUGUUCCUUCUGGUUGUUCUGGUUGCUGUGGAGUGUACUCCAUCUUCAUCACCUUCUGAGCUGGCCUGAAGCUUUACCAUGGCUCCUUGGAUUCCUGAAUUAAAGCCCAAUGUGGCCCUCUGCUGUUGGACUGGCCAAUCUGGCCUGUCUUGCCCUGCAGCUGCCAGUCUUUGUCACUCCUUGUGCCUCAACAGGCCCAGCAACCACUGCCAGUUCUGCUGUUCACUUCCCAACUGACGGCUUAACAACUCCUGUGGCGUCUUCUUCUGCCGUCACAUUUCACUUCCGUGCAGGCUCCAAAUCUCUGACAUACCUGCUUUCUGCCUCUCUUAGCAGCUCUCCGCUCAGCUGUUGGCACUUCCAUACACCGACAUACAGCCAAACAUAAGGUAAACUCGUGGCCCUACCACACUGACUUUGAUCAUUUCUCUCACCCCUUGGACAUGGCACCGAUACUUGAUCUUGCUGGGACUCUUCCUUAGAUAAUUUCCCCCCUUGCUGCUUUGGGGUAGGGAGUACCCCCACUCUUUCCUGCUCUGGGGAGGGACAGUGGAUGGGGCCACCUCCUGCCUCCUGUUGCCUUCUCUUACCACCUCUGAGCCAGGCCAGCCCAGCAGGUUCCCAGCCUGGCUCAGAUUCACUAGAAUGCUUUUGUUACCACCUGCUUAUCUGCCCUUCACCAUUGCAGCACUUUUUUUUUUUUUGACAGGUUGACAGUGUUUGCUUUGCUGGGUUUUGGGUAAAAAAAAAUGUCUACAGAUCGGAGUAGAUGUAACUAAUGUAAGUAGGGAAAAUAAAACUUAUUGUGAGGCAAGAGGUAUGGGAAAGGUCAGAUGAGAGAAUCUAAAUGGAGAUAUUAGUAGGAGUAAGUAAGAAUGAAUAGGAGUGAAAUGAAAGACUUCAGGGGUAUGGGAAUAUGUAAGAAUGAGAUUGUGAAUGUUAAAAGAUUAUACUUGACCAUGAAAUCUAACCUACCCAGAACCUUGACAUUCGACUGGUUACAUGCCCUAUACACUUAACAUAAUUUAACAACCCAUUUUAUUUAAUAGAUAAAUAUUCUAGAAAAAUGAAUGAGAAUAAAAUUCAGAGAGGAAGUCUUCUAAUUCCUUAAAUAUAAUUAGUGAAGUACAUGGAGGUAAGGCUGAUAUGUAGAUCAGCAAAAACAAAUAAAUGAACAAAAACCUAUAGCUUUAACAUGAACUUUAAACAUAAUUUUAUCAUAUCCCAAAUAAAUGAUACAAUUGGUGACUAUGAGUGCAAACAUCUUGAGAAAUAGUGUGCUAAAACGUUGCGGGCCAGGAUGGUUUUUCACAAAAGUAAAUGGUUUCUUUUUGAAAUAAGACAAUAUAGGACAACUCCCCCAGCAAUAAAUUGGGAUUAUUCCCUCCAUGACAAAGAAGGGGAAAAGGGUUAUUCAAAGCAAAACAAAAAAAAAAAACCAAUAAUCAAAAAAAAUUAAAAUUUUAAAAAAGAAAAAACGGGUAAAAAAAGAUUUUAAAUGCCUGGGCAAUCACCAAAAUUUAUAGCUUUAGCAUAUGUAUUGUCUAUAUCCCUGAUCACACUUUUAAAUUGGCUUCAACAUAAAUUAAGGUUUAAAAAGAAUUUUAGGUUUUUUUGAAAUUGUGGACAAGAGUCGGUAACAGUGGGAGGCUUAGGGAGGCGGGUUGGGUGUGGCAUCCUUUGUGUUACUAUAAAACCCUUAAUGUUUUAAGGAGCAUUAUAUUUUUGAUUAUACUCAACUAUUUUCCAGACCAUUAAUUAUUUGUAUCAGUGAUGAGGAAUUCAAAAAAAAUAAAAAAAAAACUCUAAAAUUCAGUUGUUGUUGUUUUCCUGAUAAAAGAUUGAAGAGAUUCCCAUUCCAGCAGGAGUAACUUUAAAAAAAAAAAAGCUAAAAAUAUUAAAAAGAUUGAGGGGGAUUCUGCAGGUUGCAGUUUUAGUAAAUGGUCCUAUCCUUAUAACAGAAGGACCCGGGAAUAGUAAACAAUCCAACAAACAAACAACAACUACUAAAUAAUCUGCAGGUGAUUCUAACGCAGUACGUCUACAUCAGUAGUCCUUAUCAUUCACCUACAUAGAGAGUCCCUACGAUGUGCUCCGGAAUCUCCAUGGCACAGAUCAUGGAAGUGGAUCCUAUUUCACCACAAAAGCAAUAUCAUAAUCAGGGCAGGGGCCUAUCAGCAAGGACUCAGAAGUAAAUAAAUUAUAGAUGUGAACAAAAUGUGUAAUGUAGGCAAAACUAUAACUAUAUGGCUAUAUAAUAAGCUAAAUAGUUAAAUAUACUCUAUGUCCUAAAAAAUGGGUCUUCAUACACUGUGUACUUUCCUUACCAACAUAUCAUAAUGAAAAUGUAUUUCAUACAGAAAAUGAAAGCAUGUGAGCUAGAAUACAUUUUUAGUCUUUAUGGCUUUUAUUUUAUGAUUUCACAGAUCAUUGAAAAUUAGCACCAAGAGCAUUUAGUCCAGCUUAUUUUAUUUUAUUUUAUUUUUUAAGACAGAGUCUCACUCUGUUGCCCAGGCUGGAGUGCAGUGGUGCAAUCUUGGCUGACUGCAACUUCCACUUCCCACGUUCAAGUGAUUCUUCUGCCUCAGCCUCCUGAGUAUCUGGUAUUACAGGCAUGUGCCCCCACCAUGCCCAGCUAAUUUUUGUAUGUUUAGUAGAGUUGAGGUUUCACCAUGUUGCCCAGGCUGGUCUUUUUCUUUUUCUUUUUUAAUUUUAUUUAUUUAUUUAUUUUUUGGCCAGGCUGGUCUUAAACUCCUGACCUCAGGUGAUUCACCCACUUCGGCCUCCCAAAGUGCUGUGAUUACAAACAUUAGCCACUGCACCCGGCCAAUUGAUUAAUUUUAUAGAUGAGAAAACUGAGAGCCCAAAGAAGUUAAAUGAAUUGUGACAGCAGAGUCAGGACUAGACGACAGGACCACUAAAUCCUAGCACCAAACCUCUCUCCUCUUACCCUUAUCUCAGCCUAGCUGCUUAGUAAUGCAUUUACUGCUCUUCAUAACAUACAGAAAAACUUUUGGGUCAUUACUUGAAUAGCUUAGAUUAUCUUUAUUUUUAUUUUACCUUUUUAAAAAAACAUGUAUUUUAGGUUCAGGGAUACAUGCGCAAGUUUGUUAUAUAGGUAGACUGUGUGUAACAGGGGUUUUGUGUAGAAAUAAUUUUGUCACCCAGGUACUAAACAUAGUACCCAAAACAGUACCCGAUCCAUAUUCUUUUGUGAUGCCCUCCCUCCUCCCCACUCCCCUCUCAAGUAGGCCCCAGUGUCCGUUUUAGCCCUCCUAGUAUCUAUGUGUUCUUGUUGUUUAGCUCCCACUUAUAAGUGGAAACAUUGCCUAUUUGGUUUUUUGUUUACUCAGGAUAAUGUCCUCCAGCUCCAUCCCUGUCCCUGCAAAGGAUGUGAUCUCAUUCUUUUUUAUGGCUGCGUAGAAUUCCAUAGUGUAUAUAUACCACAUUUUCUUUGUCCAGUCUACCAUUGGUGGACAUUUAGGUUGAUUCCAUGUCUUUGCUGUUGUGAAUAGUGCUGUGAUGAACAUAAACAUGCAUGUGUCUUUAUCUUUUAAAACUAUAUAAUAAAUUCUGAAAAUAUGCCUUUUUUUCUUAAUCUGUUUCUUUAUGCUAAAUAGAUGAGAUUAAAAUCACAGCUGUGUUUCAGUAAAUUGUCUGAAAUCUUUCAUUCUCUCCAGGAGAUGUAAAUUUUUAUGUAGCCAGACUGUCCAGUGAACAAGCAAAAG
Molecule: long non-coding RNA, 4573 nt
Organism: Aotus nancymaae (Ma's night monkey)
Lineage: Eukaryota; Metazoa; Chordata; Mammalia; Primates; Aotidae
Source: Ensembl